This 769-nucleotide ribosomal RNA is filed under the name uncultured bacterium. RNAcentral's name for it is "bacterial SSU rRNA". It matches the Rfam family "Bacterial small subunit ribosomal RNA", at positions 28 to 776 of the family's 1533-position model. The record is from RNAcentral.
AUUGAACGCUGGCGGCAGGCCUAACACAUGCAAGUCGAGCGGAAACGAGUUCACUGAACCUUCGGGGGACGUGAACGGCGUCGAGCGGCGGACGGGUGAGUAAUGCCUGGGAAAUUGCCCUGAUGUGGGGGAUAACCAUUGGAAACGAUGGCUAAUACCGCAUAAUAGCUUCGGCUCAAAGAGGGGGACCUUCGGGCCUCUCGCGUCAGGAUAUGCCCAGGUGGGAUUAGCUAGUUGGUGAGGUAAGGGCUCACCAAGGCAACGAUCCCUAGCUGGUCUGAGAGGAUGAUCAGCCACACUGGAACUGAGACACGGUCCAGACUCCUACGGGAGGCAGCAGUGGGGAAUAUUGCACAAUGGGCGCAAGCCUGAUGCAGCCAUGCCGCGUGUAUGAAGAAGGCCUUCGGGUUGUAAAGUACUUUCAGCAGUGAGGAAGGUUCAUACGUUAAUAGCGUAUGGAUUUGACGUUAGCUGCAGAAGAAGCACCGGCUAACUCCGUGCCAGCAGCCGCGGUAAUACGGAGGGUGCGAGCGUUAAUCGGAAUUACUGGGCGUAAAGCGCAUGCAGGUGGUUUGUUAAGUCAGAUGUGAAAGCCCGGGGCUCAACCUCGGAAUUGCAUUUGAAACUGGCAGACUAGAGUACUGUAGAGGGGGGUAGAAUUUCAGGUGUAGCGGUGAAAUGCGUAGAGAUCUGAAGGAAUACCGGUGGCGAAGGCGGCCCCCUGGACAGAUACUGACACUCAGAUGCGAAAGCGUGGGGAGCAAACAGG